UAGUGGAGGAGGACGCCGAAGGUGGGGCUAAUGACUGGGGUGAAGUCGUAACAAGGUAGCCGUACCGGAAGGUGCGGCUGGAUCACCUCCUAACAGGGAGACAACAAAAUGUUUAAUAUUAUUAUUUUGUCACCUUAGGUCGAUCGGUAUCUCACAUUCUUGAUUUAUUAAGGAUUUCUUUUCCUAAGUUUUUCUAGGUCACACCCAUUACUUUUCCUGGGCCAUUAGCUCAGGUGGUUAGAGCGCACCCCUGAUAAGGGUGAGGUCCCUGGUUCAAGUCCAGGAUGGCCCAUAUCUCUAUGUUGGGGGUAUAGCUCAGUUGGUAGAGCGCCUGCUUUGCAAGCAGGAUGUCAGCGGUUCGAGUCCGCUUACCUCCACUGAUUACCACCUCUUCCAUAAGUAAAAAGGAAAUGUUUUGAGUAGUAAUCUCCUUCUGAACGAAUCUAGCUUCCUAAUGGAAUCAUUAAGAUGCUGGACUCAUUGAAUUUAUUUCAUUGUUUUCAGAGAACCUUGACAACUGCAUAGAUUAUUUUUAAAGACAAUAAGCAUCUUAAUGAUGCAGAUUUAUUAUUUGUGCGAAUGCAUUAAUAACAAUUCUAUUAAGCUGAUGCUUCAAUUUUGAAGUUAUUGGUCAAGCUACAA
This 642-nucleotide unclassified non-coding RNA is filed under the name uncultured Prochlorococcus sp. Its description in RNAcentral is "partial 16S-23S ribosomal RNA intergenic spacer; may also contain 16S ribosomal RNA and 23S ribosomal RNA". The stretch from base 305 to 377 matches the Rfam family "tRNA". Lineage: Bacteria; Bacillati; Cyanobacteriota; Cyanophyceae; Synechococcales; Prochlorococcaceae. The record is from RNAcentral.